CUCCCAUCCAGCCCUGCCCUCUGGCACUGGGAAGCCAUUCCCUGUGUUCCCUUGUCCCCAGUCCCUCUCCAGCCUUGGAGAGGAGUGGGGAGCACCCGGGAUGAGUGACUGGAAUUUCAGGUCCUGGAAUCCAGACCCUGGCACGGAUUUCUCUCCCCAAAUCCAUGUCUGACCAGGGAAUGGCCACACUGGGCCAGCCCAGAGCCCCUCCUUGCUUCCCUGCUGCCUCCUGGAAGUGGGAAUGGAACAGGGCAGGUGGCCAUUGCUCUUCUCCCAAAUAAUCCAUGUCCGGAGGUGGGAGAGCUGUAGAUCCAUCUGCUUUUGGAGUCCUGCUGGUGUCAGGCAUCCAUGGAUUCUUUGGCAAGGAAUUUGUGCUGGGUACUCCAAUUGCUGAUUUCACUUGAGCCUCUCCGGUUCUCCCACUGGAACCAGGAACGGCCAAUCCCUUUUCCCUUUGUCUUUUCCCUGGAUUUGGUAGCCCUCCAUCAUCUCCCAUCGAUCCAUCCUCAAUACUUCCAUUGCUAAUGAUUCCUCACAUCCCUUCCUUUUGAUCUUUGCCUUUAUCCCAAAGGAUUUUUCCAUCUUUGUUGUGGUUUUCGGGCCUUGUUUGGCUUUCGGAGCUGCCGUGAGCAGAAAUGUUUGGCAGCGAUAUCCUGACAGGAAAGGGGAUGUUUUCCUCAUCCCGGUGCCUGUUCCAAUGCCGGCCUCACACGCUCACACCUGCACUGGCCCCUAUUCCCAAAAUUCCAGCCUGCUUUAAUCAGAUUAAUGGAGCAGGCACAGAGCCCCACCCUUUAAUUAAGCUUAAUUAAAUAAAAAUGUUCCGUCCCAAUCAAGUCCAUUGUUUUCUUUGCUUGUACACACGCCUGGAUCCCCUGGAGGCAGGAGCAACAAAUUCCCGAAGAUUUUCCAGGAAUGGUUUGUGGAGGGGAUUGUUGACCGAGAGGAAAGCGGUGCCAUGGAUUGUUCUCACAGUUUGCUGGGAUUGAGCUGGAGUGGAGUGUCCGGGAACAUUCCUUGGCACAAACGAUUUGCUAAAAUCCCUGCGGUCGUCCAGACUUUUGGCUGAGGAUGGAAAAGAUCCGGCUCCUCCUCGGAUCCAUCAGUUGGAACUCUGGAAAACCUUUUGGAGCAGGAAGGAGCAAAAUCAUCGGGACAGCCGUGUCUGGAUUCUAUUUUGCCAUGAAAUCUCUUGUCUUGGGGUCUCAGACUCUUUAAUGAAGCCAAAUCCUGCCAAAACGGGAAGCAGGUGCAUCCCCAAGUCAAAACCUCAGAAUCCCAAGCCCCUGUUUCCCAUCGGGAGCCGGUUUUGACGGAGCAUUUCCCAAAAACUCUGGGGCAGAACGGAAUUUGUUAAUCAAGAAAUAAAUAACGAAGACAAGAGCAAAACUGGCUGGCAGCAGCCGAAGAGAGGCAACAUCCUCUCAUCCCGGAUUCCCUGCUCCCGGAUUUCCGCGCUGGCCUUUCCCAGGUCCUGGAAAAUCACAGCGAGGUCACCCCAAAGCUUCUCUUCUCCACACUGGAAGAGAUCCACAUGAGAUCCAAGUUGUUCAACAUUGCUGCCCAGAAUCCAGUGGUUUCAGGGAAAACUCUGCCUGGAGAGGGGAAUGACAACCCUCGCACUUGGAAUGGCCGAUUUUCCAGUGGAUAACGACUGGAAUUCUCUUUGUGGGUUGGUAGAGCAGCACUGGAAACAGGCUGGAUGGGCUUGGAGCAACCUGAUCUCCCUGGAGAUGUCCCUGCCCGUGGCCAACUGGACGAUCCUUAAGGUCCCUUCCAACCCAAACAAUUCCAGGAUUCCAUGGAGAUUAACAGCCAGGUUGUGACGUCACGGUUCCACCAAAACUCGGAAUGGAGAUGAAAACCAUGGAAAUGGUUGGAAUAUUGAACAUGAACCACGACCAAAGCCGGGCAGUGGGAAGCAGGAUCCUUCCACAUUCCAACAGGGAUGGAUGAUGGUUUCCCGAGGUUUUUCCCCCUCAGUUCUCAUCCAAAUCCUGACCCCCUCACUGAGCACCCUCUGAUUUUCCUGGUUUUGGCUGGCGUCGAGCGGCUCCCAUCGGGUCUGUCUGGAUCUCAAGGAAAUCAUAAGUGGUUAAUGAGGAAAAUCCGGAUUGUGUCAGCUGUGGGACAUUUUGGCAGCCUUUGAAUCCUAAAAAUUGGAUUCCAACUCCUUUAUUCCUUCAUUUCAGGGAACAAAGCCUCGUAACCAAGUUUUCUUGGAAACACCACCAAAAUUGAUGCUUUUAAUUAAAAAAAAAAAAAAAAGAAAAAAAAGAAAAAAGCAAAUUAAAAGAGUAAUUGGAACCGAGGGGUUUUUUUUGGGUUCAGUUUUCCUACUGGAAAGUUGGAAAAGGUUAUGGAAAUAAACAUUUCUUCUUUCCUGUGCCUAAACAUUUUUAUUCCAAGGAAUAAAUGUAUCCCCUGGAUUAGGAAAACAAAAAUAUAAGGGCAAAGCAGCUUCCUGUUCAAAGGUGGAAUUAGAAACCAGUUCCAGCAGAUCCACCUGGAUCCCUGGAAUAUUUGGAGGAGGGCCCCAGACCUUGGAGUGGGAGCUCAGCCUUUAAAUGGGAAACACUUUGUGUCCCACCAGGCGGAGAUUUAUUCCCAUGGAUUUUAAGUCCUCCCAGGGAUGGGGACUCCAUCACUGCUCUGGGCUGGGCAUUUCCAAGAG
This is a long non-coding RNA of Corvus hawaiiensis (hawaiian crow), 2674 nucleotides long. RefSeq lists it as uncharacterized. The record is from RefSeq and is a predicted model, not a curated record. Lineage: Eukaryota; Metazoa; Chordata; Aves; Passeriformes; Corvidae. The transcript is spliced from 4 exons.